This is a long non-coding RNA of Bombus impatiens (common eastern bumble bee), 506 nucleotides long. RefSeq lists it as uncharacterized. The record is from RefSeq and is a predicted model, not a curated record. The transcript has 2 exons. Lineage: Eukaryota; Metazoa; Arthropoda; Insecta; Hymenoptera; Apidae.
UUUGCCAGCAAAAAACUGAAUUAAUGUGAUUUUACAUCAUCAGCGUCAUUAAAAAUUGUACCAUUUAAGGAGUUCUGCAUGGAACGAAAUAAAUGGUAAUCUAAAGGCGCAAAGUCAGGGUUAUAUGGUGGAUGUGACAACACAUCCCAACCUAAUUCCAAUAAUUUUUGGCGAAUGACCAAAGAUGUGUGGGGCUUCGCAUUGUUAUGCUGGAAAACAACACCCCUAGGAUUUGCCAAUUGUGGCCGCUUUUCUUCAACUGCAUCGCUCAGUUUGGCGAGUUGUUCAACGUACACGUUUUAAUUAAUGGUUUGGUUUCUUGGUAAAGGUUCAAAGUACAGAACUCUUUUAUAAUCCCACCAAACUGACGGCAUAAUCUUUUCUUGGUGAAUCUCAGCUUUUGGUGUCGUCUGGGCUGGUUCAUCUUGCAUCAGCCACGAUCUUUUCCCAUUAACGUUGUUAUAAACUAUCCACUUUUGGUCGCCAGUAAUCAGUCGUUUCAGAAA